CUACGGGGGGCAGCAGUCGAGGAAAUUUUUCAAUGCUCGAAAGAGUGAACGAGUAAGCCAGAGUGUUUUCUUUAAGAAAACUUUUGUCUGUUGUAAAAAGACAGACGAAUAAGGACUGGGCAAGACCGGUGACCAGCCGCCGCGGUAAUCCCGGCGGUCCGAGUCGCAUCCACAUUUAUUGGGUCUAAAACAUCCGUAGCUUGUUUUGUAAGUCUCUUGUGGAAUCUCAAAUCUCAAGUUUGAGGCGUGCAAGAGAUACUACAUUACUAGAGACCGGAAGACGCAAAGAGUACGACGGAGGUAGCGGUAAAAUGUGUUAAUCUUUGUCGGACUAACAAUGGCGAAGGCACUUUGCGAGUACGGAUCUGACAGUGAGGGAUGAAGGCUAGGGGCGCAAAAGGGAUUAGAUACCCCUGUAGUC
This 421-nucleotide ribosomal RNA is filed under the name uncultured archaeon. Its description in RNAcentral is "partial 16S ribosomal RNA". It matches the Rfam family "Archaeal small subunit ribosomal RNA", at positions 323 to 746 of the family's 1478-position model. The record is from RNAcentral.